AGUGGAGCUAGGAAGUUUGCUGUAUUGCAGAACACACGCACAGACCUCUUGCAGUAUGAAAUGUCUUCACUCUCCAUACCUUGGGUUGUGCAGACUUAUCCAGGACAGAGUCACUGGCGUUGGACUCCUAAAGGACAAACGUCAGAGAGGG
RNAcentral lists this long non-coding RNA (151 nucleotides) under Callithrix jacchus (white-tufted-ear marmoset). Its description in RNAcentral is "lncRNA (ENSCJAG00000072790.1)". Lineage: Eukaryota; Metazoa; Chordata; Mammalia; Primates; Cebidae. The record is from RNAcentral.